Molecule: long non-coding RNA, 112 nt
Organism: Gopherus evgoodei (Goodes thornscrub tortoise)
Lineage: Eukaryota; Metazoa; Chordata; Testudines; Testudinidae
Exons: 2
Source: RefSeq, a predicted model, not a curated record
CCCAGGAGAGUCCCCGUGCUCUGACUCAGGCCAGUCCUGCAAUCCUCGCUCACGGAAACUCGCACCAGGUCCACGCAAUCCCACGCGGGAGCUAACUGGCUGGGGACCUGGG